UGUAGAGUUUAUCAUGGCUCAGAUUGAACGCUGGCGGCAGGCUUAACACAUGCAAGUCGAGCGGGAAAGAUAGCUUGCUAUUGGACCUAGCGGCGGACGGGUGAGUAAUACUUAGGAAUCUGCCUAUUAGUGGGGGACAACGUUUCGAAAGGGACGCUAAUACCGCAUACGCCCUACGGGGGAAAGCAGGGGAUCAUUUGACCUUGCGCUAAUAGAUGAGCCUAAGUCGGAUUAGCUAGUUGGUGGGGUAAAGGCUUACCAAGGCGACGAUCUGUAGCGGGUCUGAGAGGAUGAUCCGCCACACUGGGACUGAGACACGGCCCAGACUCUUACGGGAGGCAGCAGUGGGGAAUAUUGGACAAUGGGGGGAACCCUGAUCCAGCCAUGCCGCGUGUGUGAAGAAGGCCUUAUGGUUGUAAAGCACUUUAAGCGAGGAGGAGGAUACUUUGGUUAAUACCUAAAGAUAGUGGACGUUACUCGCAGAAUAAGCACCGGUUAAUUCUGUGCCAGCAGCCGCGGUAAUACAGAGGGUGCGAGCGUUAAUCGGAUUUAUUGGGCGUAAAGCGUACGUAGGCGGCUUUUUAAUUCGGAUGUGAAAUCCCUGAGUUUAACUUAGGAAUUGCAUUGGAUACUGGGAAGUUAGAGUAUGGGAGAGGAUGGUGGAAUUCCAGGUGUAGCGGUGAAAUGGGUAGAGAUUUGGAGGAAUACCGAUGGGGAAGGCAGCCAUUUGGCUUAAUACUGACGCUGAGGUACGAAAGCAUGGGGAGCAAACAGGAUUAAUUACCCUGGUAGUCCAUGCCGUAAAGGAUGUUUAUUAGCCGUGGGGCCUUUGAGGCUUUAGUGGCGCAGCUAACGCGAUAAGUAGACCGCCUGGGAGACGGAGUCG
RNAcentral lists this ribosomal RNA (886 nucleotides) under Acinetobacter guillouiae. Its description in RNAcentral is "bacterial SSU rRNA". It matches the Rfam family "Bacterial small subunit ribosomal RNA", at positions 9 to 873 of the family's 1533-position model. Lineage: Bacteria; Pseudomonadati; Pseudomonadota; Gammaproteobacteria; Moraxellales; Moraxellaceae. The record is from RNAcentral.